UGCAUGGCUGUCGUCAGCUUCGUGUCGUGAGAUGUUCGGUUAAGUCCGCUAACGAGCGCAACCCUCGUCGUAUGUUAUAUGUGUCAUACGAGACUGCCGGUAAAAAGCCGGAGGAAGGUGAGGAUGAUGUCAAGUCAGCAUGACCUUUAUAUCCAGGGCUACACACACGCUACAAUGGUCUGUACAAUGGGUAGCCAAGCCGCGAGGCGGAGCCAAUCCUGAAAGCAGGCCUCAGUUCAGAUUGCAGUCUGCAACUCGACUGCAUGAAGCCGGAGUUGCUAGUAAUCGCGGAUCAGCAUGUCGCGGUGAAUACGUUCCCGGGUCUU
This 326-nucleotide ribosomal RNA is filed under the name uncultured Anaerolineaceae bacterium. RNAcentral describes it as "bacterial SSU rRNA". It matches the Rfam family "Bacterial small subunit ribosomal RNA", at positions 1042 to 1382 of the family's 1533-position model. The record is from RNAcentral. Lineage: Bacteria; Bacillati; Chloroflexota; Anaerolineae; Anaerolineales; Anaerolineaceae.